This 417-nucleotide ribosomal RNA is filed under the name uncultured bacterium. RNAcentral's name for it is "partial 16S ribosomal RNA". It matches the Rfam family "Bacterial small subunit ribosomal RNA", at positions 360 to 774 of the family's 1533-position model. The record is from RNAcentral.
AAUAUUGGUCAAUGGAGGCAACUCCGAACUAGCCACGCCGCGUGCAGGAUGACGGUCCUAUGGAUUUUAAACUGCUUUUGUACCGGAAGAAAAAGCGUUACGGGUAGUUUAUUGACGGUACUGUAAGAAUAAGGAUCCUCCAACUCCGUGUGAGCUGCCGUCGUAAUACGGAGGAUUCAAGCGUUAUCCGGAAUCAUUGGGUUUAAAGGGUCCGUAGGCGGCCUUAUAAGUCAGCGGUGAAAGUUUUUGGCAUAACCAAAAAAUUGCCGUUGAUACUGUAGGGCUUGAAUUUUUGUGAAGUAACUAGAAUAUGUAGUGGAGCGGUGAAAUGCUUAGAUAUUACAUGGAAUACCAAGUGCGAAGGCAGGUUACUAACAAACGAGUGACGCUGAUGGACGAAAGCGUGGGUAGCGAACA